CACCACCUCUCAUUCGUCUCCGUU
RNAcentral lists this non-coding RNA (24 nucleotides) under Arabidopsis thaliana (thale cress). The record is from RNAcentral. Lineage: Eukaryota; Viridiplantae; Streptophyta; Magnoliopsida; Brassicales; Brassicaceae.